UAGGGAAUAUUGCGCAAUGGACGAAAGUCUGACGCAGCAACGCCGCGUGGGUGAUGAAGUUUUUCGGAAUGUAAAACCCUGUCGGUGGGGAAGAAACGUACGAGUAGUAACUGACUCGUGCCUGACGGUACCCACAGAGGAAGUCCCGGCUAACUCCGUGCCAGCAGCCGCGGUAAUACGGGGGGGACGAGCGUUGUUCGGAUUUACUGGGCGUAAAGGGCGCGUAGGCGGGCUUUCAAGUCGGAUGUGAAACCUGGUGGCUUAACCACCAGCCUGCAUUUGAUACUGUUGGCCUUGAGUACAGGAGAGGAGAGUGGAAUUCCAGGUGUAGCGGUGAAAUGCGUAGAUAUCUGGAAGAACACCAGUAGCGAAGGCGGCUCUCUGGACUGAUACUGACGCUCAAGCGCGAAGGCUUGGGGAGCAAACA
RNAcentral lists this ribosomal RNA (427 nucleotides) under uncultured prokaryote. RNAcentral describes it as "bacterial SSU rRNA". It matches the Rfam family "Bacterial small subunit ribosomal RNA", at positions 355 to 774 of the family's 1533-position model. The record is from RNAcentral.